GAACCGUACGAACGUUAUUCGGAAUCACUGGGCUUAAAGGGUGCGUAGGCGGCUUUGCAAGUUGGGUGUGAAAUCCCUCGGCUCAACCGAGGAACUGCGCUCAAAACUGCAAGGCUUGAGGGAGAUAGAGGUGAGCGGAACUAAUGGUGGAGCGGUGAAAUGCGUUGAUAUCAUUAGGAACACCGGUGGCGAAGGCGGCUCACUGGGUCUCUUCCGACGCUGAGGCACGAAAGCUAGGGUAGCGAACGGGGGAUUAGAUACCCCGGUAGUCCUAGCUGUAAACGAUGAGCACUGGAUCGAGGGCCCCUUCCACAGGCUCUCGGUCGUAGCGAAAGUGUUAAGUGCUCCGCCUGGGGAGUAUGGUCGCAAGGCUG
RNAcentral lists this ribosomal RNA (374 nucleotides) under uncultured organism. Its description in RNAcentral is "partial 16S ribosomal RNA". It matches the Rfam family "Bacterial small subunit ribosomal RNA", at positions 527 to 896 of the family's 1533-position model. The record is from RNAcentral.